RNAcentral lists this ribosomal RNA (492 nucleotides) under uncultured bacterium. RNAcentral's name for it is "partial 16S ribosomal RNA". It matches the Rfam family "Bacterial small subunit ribosomal RNA", at positions 29 to 507 of the family's 1533-position model. The record is from RNAcentral.
AUUGAACGCUGGCGGCAUGCUUUACACAUGCAAGUCGAACGGUAACAGGCCUUCGGGUGCUGACGAGUGGCGGACGGGUGAGUAAUGCAUCGGAACGUACCCAGAGGUGGGGGAUAACGCAGCGAAAGCUGUGCUAAUACCGCAUGUGAUCUGAGGAUGAAAGCGGGGGACCGAGCAGCAAUGUUUGGCCUCGCGCCUUUGGAGCGGCCGAUGUCGGAUUAGCUAGUUGGUGGGGUAAAGGCCUACCAAGGCGACGAUCCGUAGCUGGUCUGAGAGGACGACCAGCCACACUGGGACUGAGACACGGCCCAGACUCCUACGGGAGGCAGCAGUGGGGAAUGUUGGACAAUGGGCGCAAGCCUGAUCCAGCAAUGCCGCGUGCGGGAAGAAGGCCUUCGGGUUGUAAACCGCUUUUGGCAGGAACGAAACGGUGUCCGCUAAUACCGGGCGCUAAUGACGGUACCUGCAGAAUAAGCACCGGCUAACUACGUG